AUGUGUGUACCUAAAAAUCAAGGAGGGAAGGGAUACUGUGAUAUUCACGGUUUCAACUUAGCGUUGCAUGCUAAACAGGCAUGGCAUCUUCUAGACAAUCUUGAUUCAUUGUGUGCUUCUAUCCUAAGGGCAAAGUAUUACCCCGAUGGUGAUUUGUUGAAUGCUAAGCUAAGGAAAUGCUCCUCCUUUACAUGGCAAAGUAUCAUGGCAGGCACAAAUACUCUGAAACGUGGUUAUAUUUGGCGAGUGGGGAAUGGACAUUAUAUCAAUAUUUGGGAAGAUGCCUGGAUCCCAAACUAUGCCACUAGGAAAAUUGUAACGCCUAAGGGGGGCAUCUGUUAA
Molecule: ribosomal RNA, 342 nt
Filed under: Triticum aestivum (bread wheat)
Lineage: Eukaryota; Viridiplantae; Streptophyta; Magnoliopsida; Poales; Poaceae
Description: partial small subunit ribosomal RNA
Source: RNAcentral